CCGUGAUUCCGCGGUAGUAACUUUUAAUUAGGUUAAAAAAAAAGACCGUGAACAGUUUCUUCUUCCUCGCGAAGAAACUGUUGCAACUCUCUAUACGCUCUCCUCUCCGCCGUGCAUUGUCUAUGUACUCUGUGCAUUGUCUCUGCCGUGCCAUUCCUCUGAAUAUUCUCAUCAUUUAUUGCUAUUCUCUUCAGCGUGCCACCAUUCUGUCGGAACUCUCCCCGUGCCAUUCUUUCUCUGCUCUUCACCGUGCCAUCAUUUGUGCCAUUUUUGCCC
Molecule: long non-coding RNA, 276 nt
Filed under: Vigna radiata
Lineage: Eukaryota; Viridiplantae; Streptophyta; Magnoliopsida; Fabales; Fabaceae
Description: long non-coding RNA (VRAD_LNC007062)
Source: RNAcentral